GAGAGAGAGAGAGAGAGAGAGAGAGAGAGAGAGAGGAAGAAGAAUGGAUACCUGUGUAUUGGUUGAGGUGGAGAUGGACGGUGUUGUCAUCAUCGGAGCGGAGGAGAUUGGAGUCGCCACCAAAGAGUUGAGUGAAUCCUUUCUGGAAGGAAACUAUGUGUGGCAAAGGUGUGGUUGCGCCGCCGGAUAAGGGAUGGAGGAAGAGGAGGAGAAACGAUAUACAUACGGCGGGUUUAGAGAGAGAAUUGAGGAGUUGGUGUUUCAUUUUGAUGGAGUGUUU
Molecule: long non-coding RNA, 280 nt
Filed under: Lactuca sativa (garden lettuce)
Lineage: Eukaryota; Viridiplantae; Streptophyta; Magnoliopsida; Asterales; Asteraceae
Description: long non-coding RNA (LSAT_LNC003512)
Source: RNAcentral